GAUGAAGAACGUAGCGAAAUGCGAUACUUGGUGUGAAUUGCAGAAUCCCGUGAACCAUCGAGUCUUUGAACGCAAGUUGCGCCCGAAGCCACUAGGCCGAGGGCACGCCUGCCUGGGCGUCACACGCCGUUGCCCCCCCAUCAACUCCUUCGGGAUUGCGGGGGGGCGGAUGAUGGCCUCCCGUGCGCCUAGCCGCGCGGUUGGCAUAAAUACCAAGUCCUCGGCGACGCACGCCACGACAAUCGGUGGUUGCGAAACCUCGGUUGCCCGUCGUGUGCGUUCGUCGCGCAUCGAGGGCUCGAAAAAAUGCUCGGCUCCGGCUGGGCUUUCAACGCGACCCCAGGUCAGGCGGGGUUACCCGCUGAAUUUAAGCAUAUCAAUAAGCGGAGGA
RNAcentral lists this unclassified non-coding RNA (391 nucleotides) under soil metagenome. RNAcentral's name for it is "partial contains 5.8S ribosomal RNA, internal transcribed spacer 2, and large subunit ribosomal RNA". The stretch from base 1 to 122 matches the Rfam family "5.8S ribosomal RNA", at positions 35 to 154 of the family's 154-position model. The record is from RNAcentral.